This 253-nucleotide ribosomal RNA is filed under the name uncultured bacterium. RNAcentral's name for it is "partial 16S ribosomal RNA". It matches the Rfam family "Bacterial small subunit ribosomal RNA", at positions 524 to 776 of the family's 1533-position model. The record is from RNAcentral.
UACGGGGGGUGCGAGCGUUGUCCGGAAUCACUGGGCGUAAAGGGCGCGUAGGUGGUUUGAUAAGGGUGUGGUGAAAGUCCGGGGCUCAACCCCGGAUCUGCCGUGCCGACUGUCAAACUCGAGGACUGUAGAGGCAGACGGAAUUUCGGGUGUAGCGGUGGAAUGCGUAGAUAUCCGAAAGAACACCGGAGGCGAAGGCGGCUUGCUGGGCGUGAUCUGACGCUGAGGCGCGAAAGCGUGGGGAGCGAACAGG